UCCUAUAUAGUGUAGCGGUUUAGCAUUCCAGAUUUUCAUCUCUUGGUGGCUAUUUCUGGCGACCCGGGUUCGAACCCCGGUAUAGGAA
This is a non-coding RNA of Parathielavia hyrcaniae, 88 nucleotides long. The record is from the annotation of a GenBank genome assembly. NCBI's taxonomy places the organism in Eukaryota, Fungi, Ascomycota, Sordariomycetes, Sordariales, Chaetomiaceae.